GAUCCUGGCUCAGGAUGAACGCUAGCUACAGGCUUAACACAUGCAAGUCGAGGGCAGCAUGAUCUAGCUGCUAGAAUGAUGGCGACCGGCGCACGGGUGAGUAACGCGUAUCCAACCUUCCCUAUAGUAGAGGAUAGCCCGGCGAAAGUCGGAUUAAUACUCUAUGUUGUUCAAUGCGGACAUCUAAGUUGAACCAAAGGUUUACCGCUAUAGGAUGGGGAUGCGUCUGAUUAGAUGGUAGGCGGGGUAACGGCCCACCUAGUCGACGAUCAGUAGGGGUUCUGAGAGGAAGGUCCCCCACAUUGGAACUGAGACACGGUCCAAACUCCUACGGGAGGCAGCAGUGAGGAAUAUUGGUCAAUGGGCGAGAGCCUGAACCAGCCAAGUAGCGUGCCAGGAUGACGGCCCUAUGGGUUGUAAACUGCUUUUAUAUAGGGAUAAAGUGCACUACGUGUAGUGUUUUGUAGGUACUAUAUGAAUAAGGACCGGCUAAUUCCGUGCCAGCCGCCGC
RNAcentral lists this ribosomal RNA (511 nucleotides) under uncultured bacterium. RNAcentral's name for it is "bacterial SSU rRNA". It matches the Rfam family "Bacterial small subunit ribosomal RNA", at positions 15 to 518 of the family's 1533-position model. The record is from RNAcentral.